GGAGUACUACCUUCGUCCGAAAAUACUUGUCCUAGAGAUGAAUGUAUCUGGACUUAUUUUAAUUAUAGAUACAUUCAUUAUAUGUAUUUUUAGAACAAGUAUUUUCGGACGGAGGGAGUAACAU
This 124-nucleotide microRNA precursor is filed under the name Hordeum vulgare. RNAcentral's name for it is "microRNA MIR1122". It matches the Rfam family "MIR1120/MIR1122 microRNA precursor family". Lineage: Eukaryota; Viridiplantae; Streptophyta; Magnoliopsida; Poales; Poaceae. The record is from RNAcentral.